UACGUAGGUGGCAAGCGUUGUCCGGAUUUACUGGGCGUAAAGAGCGCGCAGGCGGUCGAUUUAGUCGCGUGUGAAAGCCCCCGGCUCAACUGGGGAGGGUCACGCGAUACUGAUCGACUCGAAGGCAGGAGAGGGUAGUGGAAUUCCCGGUGUAGUGGUGAAAUGCGUAGAUAUCAAGAGGAACACCUGCGGCGAAGGCGGGUUGCUGGGCCGACACUGACGCUGAGGCGCGAAAGCUAGGGGAGCGAACGGG
This 253-nucleotide ribosomal RNA is filed under the name uncultured bacterium. RNAcentral's name for it is "partial 16S ribosomal RNA". It matches the Rfam family "Bacterial small subunit ribosomal RNA", at positions 524 to 776 of the family's 1533-position model. The record is from RNAcentral.